CGAGCAGGACAGGAUGGGAGCUUGCUCCCUGAUAGUUAGCGGCGGACGGGUGAGUAACACGUGGGUAACCUGCCUGUAAGACUGGGAUAACUCCGGGAAACCGGGGCUAAUACCGGAUGGUUGUUUGAAUCGCAUGGUUCAAACAUAAAAGGUGGCUUCGGCUACCACUUACAGAUGGACCCGCGGCGCAUUAGCUAGUUGGUGAGGUAACGGCUCACCAAGGCAACGAUGCGUAGCCGACCUGAGAGGGUGAUCGGCCACACUGGGACUGAGACACGGCCCAGACUCCUACGGGAGGCAGCAGUAGGGAAUCUUCCGCAAUGGACGAAAGUCUGACGGAGCAACGCCGCGUGAGUGAUGAAGGUUUUCGGAUCAUAAAGCUCUGUUGUUAGGGAUUAACAAGUACCGUUCGAAUAGGGCG
RNAcentral lists this ribosomal RNA (421 nucleotides) under Bacillus subtilis. RNAcentral describes it as "bacterial SSU rRNA". It matches the Rfam family "Bacterial small subunit ribosomal RNA", at positions 63 to 471 of the family's 1533-position model. The record is from RNAcentral. Lineage: Bacteria; Bacillati; Bacillota; Bacilli; Caryophanales; Bacillaceae.